UGGGGGAUAUUGCACAAUGGGCGAAAGCCUGAUGCAGCGACGCCGCGUGGGGGAUGAAGGCUUUCGGGUUGUAAACCUCUUUCGCUAUCGAACAAGGCCCGCUUAGGGUGGGUUGAGGGUAGGUGGAGAAGAAGCGCCGGCUAACUACGUGCCAGCAGCCGCGGUAAUACGUAGGGCGCGAGCGUUGUCCGGAAUUAUUGGGCGUAACGGGCUUGUAGGCGGCUUGUUGCGCCUGCUGUGAAAACGCGGGGCUUAACUUCGCGCGUGCAGUGGGUACGGGCAGGCUUGAGAGUGGUAGAGGUGACUGGAAUUCCAGGUGUAGCGGUGGAAUGCGCAGAUAUCUGGAGGAACACCGAUGGCGAAGGCAGGUCACUGGGCCAUUACUGACGCUGAGGAGCGAAAGCAUGGGUAGCGAACAGG
RNAcentral lists this ribosomal RNA (420 nucleotides) under bacterium. RNAcentral describes it as "partial 16S ribosomal RNA". It matches the Rfam family "Bacterial small subunit ribosomal RNA", at positions 355 to 776 of the family's 1533-position model. The record is from RNAcentral.